This is a non-coding RNA of Triplophysa rosa, 75 nucleotides long. The record is from the annotation of a RefSeq genome assembly. NCBI's taxonomy places the organism in Eukaryota, Metazoa, Chordata, Actinopteri, Cypriniformes, Nemacheilidae.
GCUUUCCUUUAGCUCAGUGGUAAGAGCAUGGCGCUAACAACGCCAAGGUCCUGGGUUCGAUCCCAGGGGAUUGCA